GGUUGGUCUGAGUGCAGUUGUGUUUACAACUAAUUGAUCACAACCAUUUAUAGUUUCCUUUGUUCCUUCUCCACUCCCACUGCUCCACUUGACCAGCUUUUA
This 102-nucleotide Y RNA is filed under the name Microcebus murinus (gray mouse lemur). RNAcentral's name for it is "Y RNA (ENSMICG00000046779.1)". It matches the Rfam family "Y RNA". From Rfam's summary of the family: Y RNAs are components of the Ro ribonucleoprotein particle (Ro RNP), in association with Ro60 and La proteins. The Y RNAs and Ro60 and La proteins are well conserved, but the function of the Ro RNP is not known. In humans the RNA component can be one of four small RNAs -- hY1, hY3, hY4 and hY5. The record is from Rfam by way of RNAcentral. Lineage: Eukaryota; Metazoa; Chordata; Mammalia; Primates; Cheirogaleidae.